This 665-nucleotide long non-coding RNA is filed under the name Pan troglodytes (chimpanzee). Its description in RNAcentral is "long non-coding RNA NONPTRT005305". The record is from RNAcentral. Lineage: Eukaryota; Metazoa; Chordata; Mammalia; Primates; Hominidae.
CGCGUUUUGAGCCGAUCGUGCCACCAUAGCUCCUGCUGCUGCCUCUGCCGCUGCGGCUACCGCGGCGGAGCAGAAAUUGCCGAACGCGAUGCCCGAGGGCGCUGUGAGCAGGGUGGCCUUAGCUCACCGAGGCUGGUCAGUGAGAGGGCAUACUGGGAAGCCCUGUGGAGUGGGAAGACAGUGCCGCUGUUGAGACAAGACCCAGGACUGGGCCGGGGACUGUCCCAAAGGGUUUCUCGUCAUAAUGGCUGUGGAAGGGUCAACCAUUACCAGCCGGAUCAAGAAUCUGUUGAGAUCUCCAUCCAUCAAACUGCGCAGGAGUAAGGCAGGAAACCGACGAGAGGACCUCAGCUCCAAGGUGACCUUGGAGAAGGUGCUGGGAAUUACAGUGUCUGGAGGCAGAGGACUUGCCUGUGACCCCCGAUCAGGUUUAGUUGCUUACCCAGCAGGGUAAGUAAGCACCUUGGAAGAGAUCUUGAUGCAUGGGAAUUUAUAGCCACGCUAGAGCAGUUGGGAUGGGCAGGGAUUUUCUGGUAUCUUCUGGAAGAUAGAUACAGGUUAAUGUUUUGUUGUCAUUUUUGUAAAGAGACGCAGGACCAGGUAAAGGUUCUUUGUCGGGUGCUGUCAUUGUUGCCAUCCUGUCCUGCUUUUCAGUUAUCUACCCC